This 497-nucleotide ribosomal RNA is filed under the name uncultured bacterium. Its description in RNAcentral is "partial 16S ribosomal RNA". It matches the Rfam family "Bacterial small subunit ribosomal RNA", at positions 28 to 507 of the family's 1533-position model. The record is from RNAcentral.
GAUGAACGCUGGCGGCGUGCCUAAUACAUGCAAGUCGAGCGAACGGACGAGAAGCUUGCUUCUCCGAUGUUAGCGGCGGACGGGUGAGUAACACGUGGAUAACCUACCUAUAAGACUGGGAUAACUUCGGGAAACCGGAGCUAAUACCGGAUAAUAUUUUGAACCGCAUGGUUCAAAAGUGAAAGACGGUCUUGCUGUCACUUAUAGAUGGAUCCGCGCCGCAUUAGCUAGUUGGUAAGGUAACGGCUUACCAAGGCAACGAUGCAUAGCCGACCUGAGAGGGUGAUCGGCCACACUGGAACUGAGACACGGUCCAGACUCCUACGGGAGGCAGCAGUAGGGAAUCUUCCGCAAUGGGCGAAAGCCUGACGGAGCAACGCCGCGUGAGUGAUGAAGGUCUUCGGAUCGUAAAACUCUGUUAUUAGGGAAGAACAUAUGUGUAAGUAACUGUGCACAUCUUGACGGUACCUAAUCAGAAAGCCACGGCUAACUACGUG